ACAUGCAAGUCGAACGAAGUAGCAAUACUUAGUGGCAGACGGGUGAGUAACAUGUGGGUAUCUUCCCUUUGGUGAGGAAUAACACGAGGAAACUUGUGCUAAUACCUCAUAAGUCUUUACGGAGAAAGCUUUAUGCGCCAUUGGAUGAGCCCGCACUUGAUUAGUUUGUUGGUGGGGUAAUGGCCUACCAAGACAAAGAUCAAUAGCUGAUUUGAGAGGAUGAUCAGCCACAUUGGGACUGAGACACGGCCCAAACCCCUACGGGAGGCAGCAGUAAGGAAUCUUGCACAAUGGAGGAAACUCUGAUGCAGCGAUGCCGCGUGAGUGAAGAAGGCCUUUGGGUUGUAAAGCUCUUUCGUCGGGGAAGAAAAUGACUGUACCCGAAUAAGAAGGUCCGGCUAACUUCGUGCCAGCAGCCGCGGUAAUACGAAGGGACCUAGCGUAGUUCGGAAUUACUGGGCUUAAAGAGUUCGUAGGUGGUUAAAAUAGUUGGUGGUGAAAUCCCAGAGCUUAACUCUGGAACUGCCAUCAAAACUUUUUAGCUAGAGUAUGAUAGAGGAAAGCAGAAUUUCUAGUGUAGAGGUGAAAAUUCGUAGAUAUUAGAAAGAAUACCAAUUGCGAAGGCAGCUUUCUGGAUCAUUACUGACACUGAGGAACGAAAGCAUGGGUAGCGAAGAGGAUUAGAUACCCUCGUAGUCCAUGCCGUAAACGAUGUGUGUUAGACGUUGGAAAUUUAUUUUCAGUGUCGCAGCGAAAGCGAUAAACACACCGCCUGGGGAGUCCGACCGCAAGGUUAAAACUCAAAUGAAUUGACGGGGACCCGCACAAGUAGUGGAGCAUGUGGUUUAAUUCGAAGAUACGCGCAGAACCUUACCAACACUUGACAUGUUCGUCGCGACUUUAAGAGAUUAAAGUUUUCGGUUCGGCCGGACGAAACACAGGUGCUGCAUGGCUGUUGUCAGCUCGUGUCGUGAGAUGUUGGGUUAAGUCCCGCAACGAGCGCAACCCUCACUUUUAGUUGCCAUCAUUUAGUUGGGCACUCUGAAAGAACUGCCAGUGAUAAGCUGGAGGAAGGUGGGGAUGACGUCAAGUCCUCAUGGCCCUUACGUGUUGGGCUACACACGUGCUACAAUGGCAUCUACAAUAGGAAGCAAGGUGGCGACAUCAAGCAAAUCCUAAAAAGAUGCCUCAGUUCGGAUUGCACUCUGCAACUCGAGUGCAUGAAGCUGGAAUUACUAGUAAUCGCGGAUCAGCGCGCCGCGGUGAAUACGUUCCCGGGUCUUGUACACACCGCCCGUCACACCAUGGGAG
This 1311-nucleotide ribosomal RNA is filed under the name uncultured marine bacterium. Its description in RNAcentral is "bacterial SSU rRNA". It matches the Rfam family "Bacterial small subunit ribosomal RNA", at positions 53 to 1410 of the family's 1533-position model. The record is from RNAcentral.